CUCGCCCUCCGCCCCCACCGCCGGCCCCGACGCCUCCCUUCCACUUCACCUCCCUCUCCCUCCCUCAGAUCUGCCGCCGCCCUCUAAGCCACACCCCACUGCCCCCCCUCCACGGUGCUCGCGGCGCCGGCGUGCCGUCCGCCGCCCCACCCGGCGCCCCCCGCGACCCCACCGCCACGGCACGUUGGGUGAGAUCCCGGCCGCCGCUAGGCGCCAGACCCCUCCACGGCUCCACCCGCGCACCUCUCGGCGCUCGCGGCGUCGGCGCACCGUCCGUCGCCCCGCCCGACGGCUCCUGCAGAUCUCCGACGGCUCCGCCAUGGCGCCGUUGCCAUAAUCCCCGCAGGCUAGCCGCUUGGUCACUGGCGGGAUGAGGGACACGCUGAGGUCGCGCAAUGGGAACCAUCGUAGCCUAGGAACCCCGGAAGGUCAGGAUCCCCAGCCGGGGCAAGGAGGCCAGAAAGUCCAGACCACCUGCAGCGGACGGAGGCCAGGAUGUCGGCAUGACCAACCAUCAGGGAAUUGACUGACGAAGAAAGAGCCUCACGUGUUGUUUUCAGACAAAUUCGAACAACACCUCCUGUUCGAUCUAUUUGAAAAUAACUUUCAUGUUCUUGACUCUAGGGACAUCGCCAUUUGAAAGAUUAUGGGAAAAAUUCUUUGUGGAAUAAUUACAGUAGUAGAAUCUUGGCUUUGUCUGUCAGUUCAGCACAACAAGGAGCAGGGCUUGUGUUCAGUUUCAGUUUCAUGCUGCAACAUCGAUAGUUCUAAGUAGCUUGUUUGAUCAACUCUGAACUUGUCACAUGUUUACUUAUAACUGAAGAUCUCACGAAGCCGCGGGCGAUGCCCCACCCCCCUCCCGGCCUCCUUUCUUCUUCAUGCAAUUCUGUGUGAUCUUCCUUACUGCAGUGCUGCUCUUCUUUGCGGUUCAGGGUGAUUCAUGAAGCUCCAAGGAAUACAUAUCAUUCAUCCCUAUGCGCAGCUAGCCUUGCAAGUCACGCAUCAAUAGCGUGCACAACACAAAGGCAAGCGUUCCAACGCUUGUUGGCGGCGCUCCUGUGGAAGUAAGGAGAUGAAAAAAUGGGAUGAACCAGCUCAUGCAUGCAUCAUGGUGUCGUUGCGAUCACAUGUUAUAUGCCGAUGCAAGGUUAAGUACGUGGGAGAUGACGGGGAGGAGCAGAACGGCUUGCAGAUGACGGGCCUGAAUCUCAUGGACAAGACGAUGACCGUCCGGGGAGCUAGGAUUGCCUCUUCAGGUUAUGCAAACAUGAAUGGAUGCUGUUUUUGGUAGAUGCUGUUCAUGCUAACAUGAAUGGAUGCUGGACCAUAUUGUUUGUAGGCAGUAAAGGUUGUUGAUCUGAUAGAUAUUAGGCUAUAUUGUAUUGUCGAUCUGUUAGAUGUUUGCUAUAUUGUAUUAUGUCUACCAGAGACGAAUUUGAAAAAAUUCAAUUUUUGCUACAUUGGAUUUGGUUUGAUACAAAUUGUGUUGCCAUAGAA
This is a long non-coding RNA of Setaria italica (foxtail millet), 1497 nucleotides long. RefSeq lists it as uncharacterized. The record is from RefSeq and is a predicted model, not a curated record. The transcript has 6 exons. NCBI's taxonomy places the organism in Eukaryota, Viridiplantae, Streptophyta, Magnoliopsida, Poales, Poaceae.